This 253-nucleotide ribosomal RNA is filed under the name uncultured bacterium. RNAcentral describes it as "partial 16S ribosomal RNA". It matches the Rfam family "Bacterial small subunit ribosomal RNA", at positions 524 to 776 of the family's 1533-position model. The record is from RNAcentral.
UACGGGGGGUGCAAGCGUUGUUCGGAAUUAUUGGGCGUAAAGAGCGUGUAGGCGGUUUGUUAAGUCUGAUGUGAAAGCCCUGGGCUCAACCCAGGAAGUGCAUUGGAAACUGGCAGACUUGAAUACGGGAGAUGGCAGUGGAAUUCCUAGUGUAGGAGUGAAAUCCGUAGAUAUUAGGAGGAACACCGGUGGCGAAGGCGGCUGCCUGGACCGAUAUUGACGCUGAGACGCGAAAGCGUGGGUAGCAAACAGG